GACGAACGCUGGCGGCGUGCCUAAUACAUGCAAGUUGAGCGCUGAAGGUUGGUACUUGUACCAACUGGAUGAGCAGCGAACGGGUGAGUAACGCGUGGGGAAUCUGCCUUUGAGCGGGGGACAACAUUUGGAAACGAAUGCUAAUACCGCAUAAAAACUUUAAACACAAGUUUUAAGUUUGAAAGAUGCAAUUGCAUCACUCAAAGAUGAUCCCGCGUUGUAUUAGCUAGUUGGUGAGGUAAAGGCUCACCAAGGCGAUGAUACAUAGCCGACCUGAGAGGGUGAUCGGCCACAUUGGGACUGGGACACGGCCCAAACUCCUACGGGAGGCAGCAGUAGGGAAUCUUCGGCAAUGGACGAAAGUCUGACCGAGCAACGCCGCGGGAGUGAAGAAGGUUUUCGGAUCGUAAAACUCUGUUGGUAGAGAAGAACGUUGGUGAGAGUGGAAAGCUCAUCAAGUGACGGUAACUACCCAGAAAGGGACGGCUAACUACGUG
Molecule: ribosomal RNA, 497 nt
Filed under: uncultured bacterium
Lineage: Bacteria
Description: partial 16S ribosomal RNA
Rfam family: Bacterial small subunit ribosomal RNA
Source: RNAcentral